Molecule: ribosomal RNA, 2764 nt
Filed under: soil metagenome
Description: bacterial LSU rRNA
Rfam family: Bacterial large subunit ribosomal RNA
Source: RNAcentral
AGUGGAUGCCUAGGACUUCAUUUUUCCCCUGUCUUAUCAAGGCAGUAAAUUUAUCGGAAGUAAAUAUUUAAUAUUAAAUAUUAAAUAUUUAGAAUUAAAAGAUAAAGUUGGGAAAUACCUCAAGAAUUGAAACAUCUUAGUAUUGAGAGGAAAAGAAAAUAAAAAUGAUUCCCUUAGUAAUGGUGAGUGAAAAGGGAGAGGCCUAAACUAAAUAAUAUUUAGGAGUAGUGGGGUAGUUGUAUUGUUUAAAGUAAGUAACAAUACGCUAAUGUUAUUAGCAACGUUUGAUUGAGUUAAUAGAAGCAUUAUGGAAAUAUGCGCCAGAGAAAGUGAAAGCCUUGUAUAUUAAAUGGAAAAAGAAUGUUACAAACUACACCCAAGUAGCCCAAAGCACGAGGAAUUUUGGGUGAAUCUGCGAGGACCUUCUCGUAAGGCUAAAUAUCAGUGAAGAUCCGAUAGUGAAUAGUACUGUGAAGGAAAGGUGAAAAGAACCCGUAGUUGGGAGUGAAAAAGAACCUGAAACUAUAAGCUUACAAGCUGAACAUGAAAAAUUUAGUUUUUAUGUUUGUGCCUGUUGAAGAAUGAGCCAGCGAGUUAUUUGUAGCAGCGUGGUUAAAGUAAAGACAUACUGGAGCCUCAGUGAAAGCGAGCUAAAAAAGCGUCUGUUGUUACAUUUAGACCCGAAACCGGAUGAUCUAACCUUGAACAGGAUGAAGUUCUUUUAACAGGGAAUGGAGGUCCGAACUGUUUGGUGUUGAAAAACCAACGGAUGAUUUGAGGUUAGCGGUGAAAUGCCAAUCGAAUUCGGAGAUAGCUGGUUCUCCCCGAAAUGUGUGUAGGCACAGCGGAAGUAUUUUUUAUUUUGUGGUAAAGCUCUGUUUUAAUAAUGGCUUUUAACAAAGUACUGCUUUAAGGCAAAAUCUGAAUGCAAAAUAAUAAACUUCUAGUCAGACUUUAUGGGACAAGCUAUAAAGUCGAGAGGGAAACAGCCCAGACCACAAGAUAAGGCCCUAAAAUAAAUACUAAGUGUUUUUAAGGAAGUAAAAAUACUACGACAUCCAGGAGGUUCGCUUAGAAGCAGCAACCCUUUAAAGAGUGCGUAAAAGCUCACUGGAAUAGUUUUUUUGCGCCGACAAUUAUCGGGACUAAGUAUUUUGCCGAAGCUGUGGAAUUAUAGUAUUUUUAACUAUAAUUGGUAGGGGAGCGUAUUAAGAGAAUAGAAGCUUUAAUGUAAAUAGAGGUGGAUUUCUUAAUAGUGAGAAUGCUGGCUUGAGUAACGAAAAUAUUUGUGAGAAUCAAAUACUCCUAAAAUCUAAGGUUUCCGUCGGAAGGUUCGUCCGCGACGGGUUAGUCAAAAUCUAAGGUGAGACCGUUGGUGUAGCCGAUGGUUAAUAGUUUAAUAUUACUAUACCUUUACAUCUCUGCAUGAGGAUGACUGAGAAAACUAUGCUUAUAAAACAAUGGAAUGUUUUAUAUUUUUAAUAUAUUUUGAUGUGGUGAAAACACGUUUUAAAAAGUAAUUAAAGAUUUAUUUUUGUGAAUAAUAAAUAAAAGCAAAUGUUAUGCUUACUAGAAAAGUCCUAACAUGAAUAAAAAGGUGUAAAGUCUGUACUAAAACUGACACAGGUAGAUAGGUAGAGAAUACUAAGGAGCGCGAGAUAACUCUCUUUAAGGAACUCGGCAAAUUAACCUCGUAACUUCGGGAGAAGAGGUGCCAUUUAUGGUUUCAAUUAAAAGGCCCAAACGACUGUUUAACAAAAACACAGGUCUCCGCUAAGUUGAAAAACGAUGUAAGGGGGCUGACGCCUGCCCAGUGCCGAAAGGUUAAAAAAUUUUGUAAUAAUAAUAAGGUAAUUUUAUUGUUGCUUGAAAAUUAAGCCUCGGUAAACGGCGGCUGUAACUAUAACGGUCCUAAGGUAGCGAAAUUCCUUGUCGGGUAAGUUCCGACCCGCAUGAAAGGCGUAACGAUUUGGGCACUGUCUCAAAGAGGGACUCGGUGAAAAAGAAUUGUCUGUGAAGAUGCGGACUACUUGCACAAGGACAGCGAGACCCUAUGAAGCUUUACUACAGGUUAAGAUUGGCCAAUAUAUUUUUAUGUGUAGAAUACGUGGGAGGUGAAAACCGUCAAUGAAAUACCACUCUUAAAACUAUAGAAGCCUAAUUUAUAUAAAUAAAGACAUUCUUUGCUGGGUAGUUUGACUGGGGCGGUCGCCUCCUAAAAAGUAACGGAGGCGUACAAAGGUUUUCUCAAAACGGACAGAAAUCGUUUGUAGAGUGCAAAGGCAAAAGAAAGCUUGACUGUAAGACAAACAAGUCGAACAGGGACGAAAGUCGGUCUUAGUGAUCUGGCGAUACUGAAAGGAAAGGUCGUCACUUAACGGAUAAAAGUUACUCUAGGGAUAACAGGCUGAUCUCCCCCAAGAGUUCUUAUCGCCGGGGAGGUUUGGCACCUCGAUGUCGGCUCAUCACAUCCUGGAGCUGUAGAAGGUUCCAAGGGUUGGGCUGUUCGCCCAUUAAAGUGGUACGUGAGCUGGGUUCAGAACGUCGUGAGACAGUUCGGUCCAUAUCCGGUGUGAGCGUUGAAAUAUUGAAAACUUUCUUCUCUAGUACGAGAGGACCGAGAAGAACAUACCUAUGGUGUACCAGUUAUUUUUCCAAAAGUAAACGCUGGGUAGCUACGUAUGAUAAAGAUAAUCACUGAAAGCAUCUAAGUGAGAAGCUUUGUUUAAGAUAAGUAUUUCAGGAUUACAACUAGACUAGUUGU